AACGAACGCCGGCGGCAUGCCUAACACAUGCCAGUCGAACGAGACCUUCGGGUCUAGUGGCGCACGGGUGCGUAACGCGUGGGAACCUGCCCUUAGGUUCGGAAUAACUCCCCGAAAGGGGUGCUAAUACCGGAUAAUGUCUUCGGACCAAAGAUUUAUCGCCUUUGGAUGGGCCCGCGUUGGAUUAGCUAGUUGGUAGGGUAAAAGCCUACCAAGGCGACGAUCCAUAGCUGGUCUGAGAGGAUGAUCAGCCACACUGGGACUGAGACACGGCCCAGACUCCUACGGGAGGCAGCAGUGGGGAAUAUUGGACAAUGGGCGAAAGCCUGAUCCAGCAAUGCCGCGUGAGUGAUGAAGGCCUUAGGGUUGUAAAGCUCUUUUACCCGGGAUGAUAAUGACAGUACCGGGAGAAUAAGCGCCGGCUAACUCCGUG
This 433-nucleotide ribosomal RNA is filed under the name uncultured bacterium. RNAcentral's name for it is "partial 16S ribosomal RNA". It matches the Rfam family "Bacterial small subunit ribosomal RNA", at positions 29 to 507 of the family's 1533-position model. The record is from RNAcentral.